GGAGGGUGCGAGCGUUGUUCGGAAUCACUGGGCGUAAAGGGCGUGUAGGCGGUCUGUUAAGUCUGAUGUGAAAGCCCGGGGCUCACCCCCGGAAGUGCAUUGGAUACUGGCGGACUCGAGUCUCGGAGAGGAGGGUGGAAUUCCUGGUGUAGCGGUGAAAUGCGUAGAUAUCAGGAGGAACACCGGUGGCGAAGGCGGCCCUCUGGACGAUGACUGACGCUGAGACGCGAAAGCGUGGGGAGCAAACAGGAUUAGAUACCCUGGUAGUCCACGCUGUAAACGAUGAGCACUAGGUGUCGUGGGUAUUGACCCCCGCGGUGCCGCAGCUAACGCAUUAAGUGCUCCGCCUGGGGACUACGGCCGCAAGGUUA
This 371-nucleotide ribosomal RNA is filed under the name uncultured bacterium. RNAcentral's name for it is "bacterial SSU rRNA". It matches the Rfam family "Bacterial small subunit ribosomal RNA", at positions 527 to 896 of the family's 1533-position model. The record is from RNAcentral.